CCCUUAGAUGUUCUGGGCGGCCCGCGCACUACAUUGGCACUGGCAACAAGAUCCUAGAUCUGGUAUUUCGGGGUAUUCUACCAACUGGUGUCGUGACUGGGAUUAACCCCUGCAAUUAUUGGUUAUGAACGAGGAAUUCCUUGUAAUCACGGCUUAUCAACCCGUGUUGAAUGCGUCCCUGCCCUUUGUACACACCGCCCGUCGCUCCUACCGAUGAAUCGUCCGGUGAAGUUCAUGGAGUCGCGGCUGCUCCAGCUGUUUUCGAAGUGAAAUGGACCUCAUGAUUUAGAGGAAGGAGAAGUCGUAACA
This 309-nucleotide ribosomal RNA is filed under the name uncultured eukaryote. RNAcentral's name for it is "partial 18S ribosomal RNA". It matches the Rfam family "Eukaryotic small subunit ribosomal RNA", at positions 1470 to 1796 of the family's 1831-position model. The record is from RNAcentral.